This is a long non-coding RNA of Drosophila pseudoobscura, 976 nucleotides long. RefSeq lists it as uncharacterized. Lineage: Eukaryota; Metazoa; Arthropoda; Insecta; Diptera; Drosophilidae. The transcript is spliced from 2 exons. The record is from RefSeq and is a predicted model, not a curated record.
ACCGAGCCACGACAUGCAAUGAGCACCGAAAUGGUAAGUUAAUCGUGAUAUUUUACUGUAGUUGCGAUCGUGGAAUGAAAGAGACAAGAAUUUACACAAACAAAAUGCAUUUGUUUUCCUCGUUUGCUUUAUGCGUUGAUUUUGUUCACUUCUGUACAAGAUCUAAUCGCUGGAAGAGUCUUUUGUGUGAACAUUUAUUAAAAAAGUGGAAAAGAUUUAAUAAAUAAAUCAAAUUAAUAUAAACAGGUACGUGCAAAUACUUUUAGAAACUCUAAAACAGGAGAAUGCAGUUAUUCGUGGUAAGACUAAUAAAGAUUAACAGAAAAAUAUUUGUAUAAUCAAAUUAAUUAACAACAUUGUUUUUAGAUCAAUUGAAUGCAGUGGUCCAAAUUUUAGCGGAUCAAACUGUUUUAAUAAAGCAGCUGGUAAAGGAGAAGGGGGAAUUGAAUCCCAUUCGGGGACAGUUCCCUAUAAAACGUGAGGAAGAACUUAUAGAACUGGAAGAAAAAAUAAAAUUAAAUAGAGACAUUUAUAUAACAGCAAUGAAAUCAAUUCUCCAGUGCCAAAAACCAGGAGUAGGCUAAGCAUCAUAUAAUUAAAAAUUAUUCGUUAUAAUGAAAGACAUUGUGUUGUUAUUUUUUUAUUAUUCCAGACUGCCAGAUUGACUACUACCAGUAGUCAGUUCGGAACUAGUUACUGGUAACUAGGUCAGAGCUAGCUACAGGUAAUCGAAGGGUAGUCGAGUGGGGAACUAGUUGCUGGCUUUCUACUGGUAACUAGUUCGGAACUACCUCCUGAGCAACUAGCUACGGGUAAUCGAAGGGUAAUCGAGCGGGAACCAGGGGUGGUUCCGCCCUAGGACAUGCAUGUGUUAAAUUCUCCGCUGAAAUACAUUGCGGGUAAUCGAUCUGGAACCAGGGAGGUGAGAAUGGUAGCUAGUGCGGCACCAGUGCGGAACUAGUUGCCUGGUACUAGA